This 655-nucleotide long non-coding RNA is filed under the name Androctonus crassicauda. Lineage: Eukaryota; Metazoa; Arthropoda; Arachnida; Scorpiones; Buthidae. The record is from RNAcentral.
CUAUCACAAGAGGGCGAAUGCGUCUUUUAAUUCGGCGGAAACUCACCUGAUUUUCUAACUGCCAUGGCUGUGCCGUCAACGGCUGGACGGGCGAAGCGGGCCGAAUUUCAGGUUCAGGAGAAGGCGAAUGGCCCAGAUCAAUGGACUUAACGUCGUCGGCGUCGGGGACGGUGCUGAAAAAGGCAGCUGGCCGGUUCCGGCGAGGAGUACUACGAGCAGAACCGGGAGAAUCCAUGCAGACUGAAGCUGAGACGCCGACUGUCGCCGCCGGCUCUUCCAUACUUCAUACUUAUCCGCAUUCGGGGCCUCCUCUCAGGUCUUUCAUGACGUCACUGCUGUCCGUUGGGGGAAGAAAUUGGUGCAAUCGAUGGGUCGGAUUUUUACGGCAAUGGUAGUAGCGGACGGAAUAUAUUUUAAGUAGUAAUUGAUGUAAGAUUUGAAAGAGGCCAUUUAUCACCGAUGGGUCUUUUAGGCCCUAGUUCGUCGUUUAGAAUCACCCUACUUCCCUUCCCUAUGGAGGUUAUGCCAGAACGUGUCUCUGGAAAACGAGACGCGAAAACACGGAAUUUGAGGACGGGGCGGGCAAGCUGCCGAAUGGUUUAGAUCCGUGUAGGGCUCCAUCGUAGGUUCCCAGUGACGGAUGUGGGCUGCCACC